CAGAUCCUCCAGAGACACACAAUGCUAACAAAAAGGGAGGAAUUUUGUCUUUUUCUUUCCACUCCACAGUUAUUGAAAGAUGACGUGCCCCAGAUUGGUGGCAAGAGAAAACAAAAUCAGCAUCGAAACUAAUUUUGCCUUACGAGUUUAAAGUCUACGAUAAGAUUUUCUCCAGUCGGCAAUAUCUAAAUCUGAGUGCUGAGUCAGUAUUGACAUGACACAUUCAUUAGUCAUGCCU
Long non-coding RNA from Carassius carassius (crucian carp), 238 nucleotides. RefSeq lists it as uncharacterized. The transcript is spliced from 2 exons. Lineage: Eukaryota; Metazoa; Chordata; Actinopteri; Cypriniformes; Cyprinidae. The record is from RefSeq and is a predicted model, not a curated record.